RNAcentral lists this ribosomal RNA (244 nucleotides) under uncultured Actinomycetales bacterium. RNAcentral describes it as "partial 16S ribosomal RNA". It matches the Rfam family "Bacterial small subunit ribosomal RNA", at positions 89 to 334 of the family's 1533-position model. The record is from RNAcentral. Lineage: Bacteria; Bacillati; Actinomycetota; Actinomycetes; Actinomycetales.
GCUCGAGUGGCGAACGGGUGAGUAACACGUGAGUAACCUGCCCUUGACUUUGGGAUAACUUCAGGAAACUGGGGCUAAUACCGGAUAGGAGCUCCUGCUGCAUGGUGGGGGUUGGAAAGUUUCGGCGGUUGGGGAUGGACUCGCGGCUUAUCAGCUUGUUGGUGGGGUAGUUGCUUACCAAGGCUUUGACGGGUAGCCGGCCUGAGAGGGUGACCGGCCACAUUGGGACUGAGAUACGGCCCAG